GUCGAGGGGCAGCACAUGAAGUAGCAAUACCGAUGGUGGCGACCGGCGCACGGGUGAGUAACACGUAUGCAACCUACCUUCAACAGGAGAAUAACCCGUCGAAAGACGGACUAAUACUCCAUAACACAGGGAUCCCACAUGGGAAUAUUUGUUAAAGAUUUAUCGGUUGAAGAUGGGCAUGCGCUCCAUUAGCUAGUUGGUGAGGUAACGGCUCACCAAGGCAACGAUGGAUAGGGGAACUGAGAGGUUUAUCCCCCACACUGGUACUGAGACACGGACCAGACUCCUACGGGAGGCAGCAGUGAGGAAUAUUGGUCAAUGGAGGCAACUCUGAACCAGCCACGUCGCGUGAAGGAUGACGGCCCUACGGGUUGUAAACUUCUUUUGUAAGGGAAUAAAGUUAGUUACGUGUAACUAUUUGCAUGUACCUUACGAAUAAGGAUCGGCUAACUCCGUGCCAGCAGCCGCGGUAAUACGGAGGAUCCAAGCGUUAUCCGGAUUUAUUGGGUUUAAAGGGUGCGUAGGCGGAAGAUUAAGUCGGUGGUGAAAUUUUGCAGCUCAACUGUAAAAGUGCCAUUGAUACUGGUUUUCUUGAGUAUGGAUGAAGUAGGCGGAAUUUGUGGCGUAGCGGUGAAAUGCAUAGAUAUCACGAGGAACUCCGAUUGCGCAGGCAGCUUACUAAGCCAUAACUGACGCUCAGGCACGAAGGCGUGGGGAUCAAACAGGAUUAGAUACCCUGGUAGUCCACGCAGUAAACUAUGAUUACUCGCUGUUUGCGAUACACAGCAAGCGGCUUAGCGAAAGCGUUAAGUAAUCCACCUGGGGAGUACGUUCGCAAGAAUGAAACUCAAAGGAAUUGACGGGGGCCCGCACAAGCGGAGGAACAUGUGGUUUAAUUC
This 899-nucleotide ribosomal RNA is filed under the name uncultured Bacteroidota bacterium. Its description in RNAcentral is "bacterial SSU rRNA". It matches the Rfam family "Bacterial small subunit ribosomal RNA", at positions 61 to 952 of the family's 1533-position model. The record is from RNAcentral. Lineage: Bacteria; Pseudomonadati; Bacteroidota.